This 327-nucleotide ribosomal RNA is filed under the name uncultured eukaryote. RNAcentral describes it as "partial 18S ribosomal RNA". It matches the Rfam family "Eukaryotic small subunit ribosomal RNA", at positions 1470 to 1796 of the family's 1831-position model. The record is from RNAcentral.
CCCUUAGAUGUUCUGGGCCGCACGCGCGCUACACUGACGAAUGCAACGAGCUUAUAACCUUGGCCGAAAGGUCUGGGUAAUCUCCAAAUUUCGUCGUGAUGGGGAUAGAUUAUUGCAAUUAUUAAUCUUCAACGAGGAAUGCCUAGUAAGAGCAAGUCAUCAGCUUGCGUUGAUUACGUCCCUGCCCUUUGUACACACCGCCCGUCGCUCCUACCGAUUGAAUGGUCCGGUGAAGCGUUCGGACCGUGGCCUUUGGACGGUUCGCCGUCUGUUGGCUGCGGGAAGUUCGUUAAACCUUAUCAUUUAGAGGAAGGAGAANUCGUAACA